RNAcentral lists this long non-coding RNA (1539 nucleotides) under Lepidothrix coronata (blue-crowned manakin). RNAcentral's name for it is "lncRNA (ENSLCOG00000007522.1)". The record is from RNAcentral. Lineage: Eukaryota; Metazoa; Chordata; Aves; Passeriformes; Pipridae.
AUGCCAGUUCUGACACCAGCUGCAGAAGAAAUGUACCUGAAUGUUCAGGUCAAUCCAUCUUUGAACACUUUCUCUCUCCUUAAUGGGCAGUUUGGAAAAAUUAAUGAUCUGUUCCAGAGUAGCUGGGAUUUCUUUUUAUUCUGCAUUCUCAAGAGAAGCAUCCAACACAUGGCAGGAGGAACAGAGUUAAAAAGAAGAAAGAUUUGCUGCUAAAGUCAAGAAACUUGGAUAUUUAUUACUUAGCACGGACCAACCCUCCAAACUGGUAUUAAAAGACUGAGGUGUAGAAACAGCUGAAAUCAGCUCUGGCAGUACAUCACAUUUCUUUUAGUGAACUGAAGCAGCAGCUCAGGUGAGCAUCAUCUGCAUUCUUGUUUCCAGAUUCAAUCCUAUGUUUUUAUAGAUAACUAUACAGAUGCAAAGACUCAUAGCUUAUUUUGAAAAAAGCUAUGAGGAUCUUUCCAAGUCUACCUCAGUAAUUCAGGAUAUUUGGUGACAUGUGAAAUAGGUGACUUCACUUAUCUUUGGCUUUACAGAGGCAGAAGGACAGUUUAACACCUGCUCAGACUCACUGCAGGACUAUAUUAAUAUUUACAUGUUAAUAUUACUAAAUAGCAAUCUCAAAUUAAUCACCACAUUAAUGAAGAGCCUUUUCUGAGAUUGUAAAUUCUAUUUUGUUCACUUUUGCUGCUUUUGUAUCUGCUGAAUGCCAGCUCCCCCUUUUCCAUGGGGUAGGAUUGGAGGGCCUGUACUCUGUUGUAAUAACUUUCUCCUGUUUGAAAUGCCAUUAUUUCUGGUCUGUUUUUAGAUGAUGAAGGAUAGACACUGCGAUGGGCACUAAAGCACGGACUUGCAGUGUGCACUCUGAUGGCAGGUACUCCUGUCUGGUCCUGGUGGUCUGACAUACCUGGGGAAGGCUUAGGCGCUUGUGUGUCUUAACUGUGGUUUUCUCCAUUUAUUAAUUUUAGUGUUGAUUGAAAUGUUUGUCUUUAUUUAUAGCAUAUUCAAGAGCUGUGUCGCAACAGAGAAGGUAAGUUGACAGGUGGGGGCCAGGGGAGGAAUGAGUUGAUGGCCAAGCUCUGGAUAGUUAAUCUUUUCUGGGUUUUUUUAUGAUACAAUCCUUAAAGUUUUAUGGACAGCUGUCAAAUUGAUCAGACAGCUGCCGAAACCAUUAUAAAAACAAUUUGAGAAUUAGAUUUUUAACUGUUUCUGAAGUAUUUAUUUAUCCUUCAAGAUGUAGACAGAUGCAAAGUCACCAUUCUGUUCAGUGAGAUAUUUUUCCUGUUCAUUUUCUUGAUUGAGAAUUACUGUUAGUGUAGCGCUUGUUGCUAGAAACCAUUGAGCUGGUCAUGCUCAUUUUUCUCUGCGGUGAGCUUGUGCUCUCCUGCUGUGAGCUCAUGCUCUCCUCUCUGUGAUGGGGGAGUGCUGGUUGCUGUUAGCUGUGCUCUAAAGACAAGAAUUCCAGGGUGAGGUCAAGUUUAGGUCGUGUUUGUUCUGAAGCCCAAUAAAAACAUUAGCUACUAUAUAUCUUGAUUCUCU